AUACUGUAGGAACGGAGAGGUUAGCAACGCCUCUGACAAAGAUGGAAGAGGGUUACAGACCAGCAAGAUACAUGUGGUUUAGACCUGUUCACCUACUUUUGUAUUGCAAAUUACUGUUCUCA
Molecule: small nuclear RNA, 122 nt
Organism: Rattus norvegicus (Norway rat)
Lineage: Eukaryota; Metazoa; Chordata; Mammalia; Rodentia; Muridae
Source: Ensembl